Long non-coding RNA from Eriocheir sinensis (Chinese mitten crab), 517 nucleotides. RefSeq lists it as uncharacterized. The record is from RefSeq and is a predicted model, not a curated record. Lineage: Eukaryota; Metazoa; Arthropoda; Malacostraca; Decapoda; Varunidae. The transcript has 3 exons.
AAUGCGACUAUCACCUCAGCGUUGUCAAUCUGUUACUCUUGUAUUAAUCGAUCUAUUAUUAAGGUAAAGAACAUUAAUACGACUGUCACCUCAGCGUCACCCUUGUCAAUCUAUUAAUCUCCUGUAUUAAUCGAUCUAUUAUUAAGGUUAAGGACACUAAUACGACUAUCACCUCAGCGUCACCCUUGUCAAUCUAUUAAUCUCCUGUAUUAAUCGAUCUAUUAUUAAGGUUAAGGACACUAAUACGACUAUCACCUCAGCGUCACCCUUGUCAAUCUAUUAAUCUCCUGUAUUAAUCGAUCUAUUAUUAAGGUUAAGGACACUAAUGCGACUAUCACCUCAGCGUCACCCUUGUCAAUCUAUUAAUCUCCUGUAUUAAUCGAUCUAUUAUUAAGGUAAAGAACAUUAAUACGACUAUCACCUCAGCGUCACCCUUGUCAAUCUAUUAAUCUCCUGUAUUAAUCGAUCUAUUAUUAAGGUUAAGGACACUAAUACGACUAUCACCUCAGCGUCACCC